GAAUAGGGCGUUUAGUAUUUGGUCGUAGACCCGAAACCAGGUGAUCUACCCUUGGUCAGGUUGAAGUUCAGGUAACACUGAAUGGAGGACCGAACCGACUUACGUUGAAAAGUGAGCGGAUGAACUGAGGGUAGCGGAGAAAUUCCAAUCGAACCUGGAGAUAGCUGGUUCUCUCCGAAAUAGCUUUAGGGCUAGCCUCAAGUGAUGAUUAUUGGAGGUAGAGCACUGUUUGGACGAGGGGCCCCUCUCGGGUUACCGAAUUCAGACAAACUCCGAAUGCCAAUUAAUUUAACUUGGGAGUCAGAACAUGGGUGAUAAGGUCCGUGUUCGAAAGGGAAACAGCCCAGACCACCAGCUAAGGUCCCAAAAUAUAUGUUAAGUGGAAAAGGAUGUGGCGUUGCCCAGACAACUAGGAUGUUGGCUUAGAAGCAGCCAUCAUUUAAAGAGUGCGUAAUAGCUCACUAGUCGAGUGACACUGCGCCGAAAAUGUACCGGGGCUAAACAUAUUACCGAAGCUGUGGAUUGUCCUUUGGACAAUGGUAGGAGAGCGUUCUAAGGGCGUUGAAGCAUGAUCGUAAGGACAUGUGGAGAGCUUAGAAGUGAGAAUGCCGGUGUGAGUAGCGAAAGACGGGUGAGAAUCCCGUCCACCGAUUGACUAAGGUUUCCAGAGGAAGGCUCGUCCGCUCUGGGUUAGUCGGGUCCUAAGCUGAGGCCGACAGGCGUAGGCGAUGGAUAACAGGUUGAUAUUCCUGUACCACCUAUAAUCGUUUUAAUCGAUGGGGGGACGCAGUAGGAUAGGCGAAGCGUGCGAUUGGAUUGCACGUCUAAGCAGUAAGGCUGAGUAUUAGGCAAAUCCGGUACUCGUUAAGGCUGAGCUGUGAUGGGGAGAAGACAUUGUGUCUUCGAGUCGUUGAUUUCACACUGCCGAGAAAAGCCUCUAGAUAGAAAAUAGGUGCCCGUACCGCAAACCGACACAGGUAGUCAAGAUGAGAAUUCUAAGGUGAGCGAGCGAACUCUCGUUAAGGAACUCGGCAAAAUGACCCCGUAACUUCGGGAGAAGGGGUGCUCUUUAGGGUUAACGCCCAGAAGAGCCGCAGUGAAUAGGCCCAAGCGACUGUUUAUCAAAAACACAGGUCUCUGCUAAACCGUAAGGUGAUGUAUAGGGGCUGACGCCUGCCCGGUGCUGGAAGGUUAAGAGGAGUGGUUAGCUUCUGCGAAGCUACGAAUCGAAGCCCCAGUAAACGGCGGCCGUAACUAUAACGGUCCUAAGGUAGCGAAAUUCCUUGUCGGGUAAGUUCCGACCCGCACGAAAGGCGUAACGAUUUGGGCACUGUCUCAACGAGAGACUCGGUGAAAUCAUAGUACCUGUGAAGAUGCAGGUUACCCGCGACAGGACGGAAAGACCCCGUGGAGCUUUACUGUAGCCUGAUAUUGAAAUUCGGCACAGCUUGUACAGGAUAGGUAGGAGCCUUUGAAACGUGAGCGCUAGCUUACGUGGAGGCGCUGGUGGGAUACUACCCUAGCUGUGUUGGCUUUCUAACCCGCACCACUUAUCGUGGUGGGAGACAGUGUCAGGCGGGCAGUUUGACUGGGGCGGUCGCCUCCUAAAAGGUAACGGAGGCGCUCAAAGGUUCCCUCAGAAUGGUUGGAAAUCAUUCAUAGAGUGUAAAGGCAUAAGGGAGCUUGACUGCGAGACCUACAAGUCGAGCAGGGUCG
Molecule: ribosomal RNA, 1716 nt
Filed under: Staphylococcus aureus
Lineage: Bacteria; Bacillati; Bacillota; Bacilli; Caryophanales; Staphylococcaceae
Description: partial 23S ribosomal RNA
Rfam family: Bacterial large subunit ribosomal RNA
Source: RNAcentral